Molecule: long non-coding RNA, 1353 nt
Filed under: Oncorhynchus kisutch (coho salmon)
Lineage: Eukaryota; Metazoa; Chordata; Actinopteri; Salmoniformes; Salmonidae
Description: lncRNA (ENSOKIG00005018105.1)
Source: RNAcentral
CUCCGAAUCAAAUCAAAGACAUAUACUAUGCCUUUCCAGACAUUAUUUAUACUAGAUCAAUAGCCAAAGCUAUUGUGUGAACAUAUACUAUACAGGCCUAGGCUAGGCAACGAUUUUUAACAAACAGGAGAGUGGCAUCGUAGCCUUGAGGAAGGAGAUCGCUUGUGGACGUUGGGUGAUUUUUGUGCCAAGCGCAGCCUCCGCCAGCCACACCCUCACGUGCGUGCAACUGUGCGGGACUCUAUUUCUCACCAGAGCGGUCUGUACGCUUGGCCAUGCGUGCUUGUCUGUCGCGAGCACCCGCAGCAUCAGCAACACAAAGAGGGUCGAUGAGCUGUUAGAUUGGAGAUACAAGGCGCCGCCGGCAACUUCAAGGCCGAUUUGCGGGGGAAACGAGAUCACUUAUAAGAGAGGCGACGGCAGGGCAAAUUCCAGCCGUUCCGACGCCUGUUUGGAAGGAGGAAGAAGAGGGAGGCAGCGGAGAGGGGCUUUGAUGCAGUAGAGCUGAAGGCUAGCUUCUCCACAGGGGAAGUGUGCAACGGAGUCGUCUCAGAUGAUGAGGAGACCAAUCAACAUCUGAGGUAAACAGGACAUUUAUGCAUUCUGUUUGGUGCUGUGAAAUACUCCAGCAGUCAAGAUUGCAUCUAUACAUUGCUCAUAAUGUUGUCAUAAAGAGUUGAACCGCCAUUGCAGUUCCCCCCCCCCCCCCCCCCUAUUGCUUGUACAGGCCUCCACCUCAAAAUGAAACAAACUCUAAACACAGGUCUUAUCAAUAAUUUAGUCUGCAUGGCCUUGAGCACAUUAUGUCUUUAAUCCCUUUCAGUAAGACACACUUACCCAGACCACAGAGAAAGCCUAUGAUACUAUUCCCACGAAGACCCAACUUAUAUCCCACAUAUACACAGUGCCCUCAGAAAGUAUUUACACCCCUAGACUUUUUCAACAUUUUGUUGUUUUACAGCCUGAAUGUAAAAUGAAUUUCAAUUGAGAUUUUGUGUCACUGGCUUACACACAAUAACCCAUAAUGUCAAAGUGGAAAUAUGUUUUCAGAAAUGUUUACUAAUUCAUUUAAAAUGAAAAACUGAAAUGUUUUGAGUCGAGUAUUCACCCAUUUUGUUAUAUGGAAAGCCUAAAUAAGUUCAGCAGUAAAAAUGUUCUUAACAACUCACGUAAUAAGUUGCAUGGACUCAAUAAUAGUGUGCAAUAAUAGUGUUUUUCAUGAUAUUUGAAUGACUACCUCAUCUCUGUACCCAACACAUACAAUUAUCUGUAAUAUUCCUCAGUCGAGCAGUGCAUUUCAAACACAGAUUCAACCACAAAGACCAGGGAGGUGUUUUACAGCGCCUCGCAAAG